This 74-nucleotide transfer RNA is filed under the name Luteitalea pratensis. It matches the Rfam family "tRNA". From Rfam's summary of the family: Transfer RNA (tRNA) molecules are approximately 80 nucleotides in length. Their secondary structure includes four short double-helical elements and three loops (D, anti-codon, and T loops). Further hydrogen bonds mediate the characteristic L-shaped molecular structure. tRNAs have two regions of fundamental functional importance: the anti-codon, which is responsible for specific mRNA codon recognition, and the 3' end, to which the tRNAs corresponding amino acid is attached (by aminoacyl-tRNA synthetases). tRNAs cope with the degeneracy of the genetic code in two manners: having more than one tRNA (with a specific anti-codon) for a particular amino acid; and 'wobble' base-pairing, i.e. permitting non-standard base-pairing at the 3rd anti-codon position. The record is from Rfam by way of RNAcentral. RNAcentral also lists the same sequence under 1 other name. Lineage: Bacteria; Pseudomonadati; Acidobacteriota; Vicinamibacteria; Vicinamibacterales; Vicinamibacteraceae.
GAGCGUGUAGCUCAGACGGAUAGAGCGGCCGCCUCCUAAGCGGCAGGUCCCCGGUUCGACUCCGGGCACGCUCA